AUAUUAUGCAAUAAUAAGUUAAAUUCAUAGAAAAUUCAAAUAUAUUAUAUAAAAUAUGAUUAACCAAUCAAUUUAAAGUACAUUUAUUGAUACAAAAUUAAAUACUACAUAAACAACAUAACCAAGUAAUAGAUUCGUAAUCUGCAACUAGUGUGGUGUUUGUAAUCAAUUAUAUAUUGAUAUUAAAUUUUAAAAUAAUAACACGUUUGUCACAUACAAACGAUUAGUGGACAAUUGUAUUUUUUACAUAAAUAAAGUACCUAAAAUUUUACGUAAAAUUAUUACAAAAAUGAAUUAUACUAUUCAUGUAAUAAUAUGUCUUACUGGUAUUACUGCUAUUCAUAUGGGUUGGAAUAUAGUACAGAAAUUUAGACCAGAAAAGGAUCAACGUAAACAUCCUUUUACAGAAUUAUACAAUGGUUUCACAAAUUCAAAUGACAAUAAAUAAAACAUUAUUGUAAUUAAAUAUUUAUUAAUGUAACAGUAUAUAAUAAAUGUUAUAAAUAUUGAAGAAUUUAUAUUUUUGAAAUUGAAAUCAAUAUUUUUUGUAGUAAUAAUUACAAAUAAUAAUAAUUAAUAAAAUUAAUCAUUUGUUAUAAAUAUAUGUACUUUCUAAUUACAUUAAUUAUUAAAUUAUUUUAUAACACUAUUACAACAUAUAUAUAUAUUAAAUAUGAUAAUACAACAUUCAUUUUGUACAAAAUUUUAUUUUAAGAUGUAUAAUAUAUAACAUACAUACAAUAAAUAUGUAUAUAUGGAAAUCAUAUUAAUUAAAUAAAAUCUUUUCAGAAAUUAGAAAGACAAAUGUGCAAAAUAAAAAUAAAAUAUAUUAACAAUUAUUAAUUUAUAAUGAAAGUUUAUAAAGUUUAAAUAAAUAGAUAAAUAAAUAUAUAUGUAUAUAUAUACAUAUAAAUAUAUUACAAUCACAGAGGAGCUUAAUUAGAACCUUUUAAUAGUAGGCAGGUGAUCAAAAUUCUGUUGAUAAUUCAUGGAGGAGCUUUUCGGCCGAUUUUCAUUUUGACUGUGUACCGAAGCACCAGCCUUAGGAAGUUGUGACGAAUAGCGAAUAGAAGCUUUAGUAUCUUUAAGCUGCAAAAGGUCAUUCACCUGGAAGUAUAUGGAGAGGGCUAGAGUUAUGCUAAAGAAAGAAGGAAUUAAAGACAUGUUUCUUAGAAUAAGAUGAGAAAGCUUUAUGAU
Apis cerana (Asiatic honeybee) is the source of this 1197-nucleotide long non-coding RNA. RefSeq lists it as uncharacterized. Lineage: Eukaryota; Metazoa; Arthropoda; Insecta; Hymenoptera; Apidae. The record is from RefSeq and is a predicted model, not a curated record.